UUAGAGUUUGAUCCUGGCUCAGGACGAACGCUGGCGGCGUGCCUAAUACAUGCAAGUCGAACGAGGCUUUUUGAUUGAUGCUUGCAUCAGCUAAAAAGCCGAGUGGCGAAUGGGUGAGUAACACGUGGGUAACCUGCCUUGAAGCGGGGGAUAACAUUUGGAAACAGAUGCUAAUACCGCAUAACCACAAAAACCUCCUGGUUUUUGUGUCAAAGAUGGUUCUGCUAUCACUUCAAGAUGGACCCGCGGCGUAUUAGCUUGUUGGUGAGGUAACGGCCCACCAAGGCAAUGAUACGUAGCCGAACUGAGAGGUUGAUCGGCCACAUUGGGACUGAGACACGGCCCAAACUCCUACGGGAGGCAGCAGUAGGGAAUCUUCCACAAUGGACGCAAGUCUGAUGGAGCAACGCCGCGUGAGUGAAGAAGGUCUUCGGAUCGUAAAACUCUGUUGUCAGAGAAGAACGUGCGUGAGAGCAACUGUUCAUGCAGUGACGGUAUCUGACCAGAAAGUCACGGCUAACUACGUGCCAGCAGCCGCGGUAAUACGUAGGUGGCAAGCGUUGUCCGGAUUUAUUGGGCGUAAAGGGAACGCAGGCGGUCUUUUAAGUCUGAUGUGAAAGCCUUCGGCUUAACCGAAGUCGUGCAUUGGAAACUGGGGGACUUGAGUGCAGAAGAGGAGAGUGGAACUCCAUGUGUAGCGGUGAAAUGCGUAGAUAUAUGGAAAAACACCAGUGGCGAAAGCGGCUCUCUGGUCUGUAACUGACGCUGAGGUUCGAAAGCGUGGGUAGCAAACAGGAUUAGAUACCCUGAUAGUCCACGCCGUAAACGAUGAAUGCUAAGUGUUGGAGGGUUUCCGCCCUUCAGUGCCGCAGCUAACGCAUUAAGCAUUCCGCCUGGGGAGUACGAUCGCAAGAUUGAAACUCAAAGGAAUUGACGGGGGCCCGCACAAGCGGUGGAGCAUGUGGUUUGAUUCGAAGCAACGCGAAGAACCUUACCAGGUCUUGACAUCUUUUGCCAGGCUGAGAGAUCAGCUGUUCCCUUCGGGGACAAAAUGACAGGUGGUGCAUGGUUGUCGUCAGCU
This 1081-nucleotide ribosomal RNA is filed under the name uncultured bacterium. RNAcentral's name for it is "bacterial SSU rRNA". It matches the Rfam family "Bacterial small subunit ribosomal RNA", at positions 1 to 1060 of the family's 1533-position model. The record is from RNAcentral.